AAGCAUCCACUUGAUUUUUAAAAUUUUAAAAUUUUAUUUUUAUUUUCAAAGCAAAUAAUGGAUGGAGGAGAUUUGUUUUAUCAUUUUAAAGCAAAUCUGUGGGUGGGGGUGUAUUUUCCUUUUGAUUUUGUAAAGACUGUAUUUAUAACGAAAUAUAAAAGGUAAGUGUGGAUUUUUGUGUGGUGUAUUAAUGGUGCGAAUUAAUGCAAUAAAGUAGAGAAAUAAGGAAAGUGGGUAAAAGUUGACCAGAUAUCAUCGGAAAAACAGUCAAUCUCUUGAAAUUACAUUUUUAGUAUAAAAUCUUAAAUAUUAUAUUUGUUACCAUAAGUUAUUAUUGUAUUAAAUCAAGCUCU
This 353-nucleotide long non-coding RNA is filed under the name Brassica napus (rape). RNAcentral's name for it is "long non-coding RNA (BNAP_LNC021576)". The record is from RNAcentral. Lineage: Eukaryota; Viridiplantae; Streptophyta; Magnoliopsida; Brassicales; Brassicaceae.